GACAGAGGGUGCAAGCGUUGUUCGGAAUUACUGGGCGUAAAGCGUGUGUAGGCGGUCUGAUAAGUCGGGUGUGAAAGCCCCGGGCUCAACCCGGGAAGUGCACUCGAAACUGCGAGGCUAGAGUAUCGGAGAGGUUGGUGGAAUUCUCGGUGUAGAGGUGAAAUUCGUAGAUAUCGAGAGGAACACCGGUGGCGAAGGCGGCCAACUGGACGAAUACUGACGCUGAGACUCGAAAGCGUGGGGAGCAAACAGG
This 253-nucleotide ribosomal RNA is filed under the name uncultured bacterium. RNAcentral's name for it is "partial 16S ribosomal RNA". It matches the Rfam family "Bacterial small subunit ribosomal RNA", at positions 524 to 776 of the family's 1533-position model. The record is from RNAcentral.